UACGUAGGGUGCGAGCGUUGUCCGGAAUUAUUGGGCGUAAAGAGCUUGUAGGCGGUUUUGUCGCGUCGGAUGUGAAAAGCCCGGGGCUUAACCCCGGGUCUGCAUUCGAUACGGGCAGACUGGAGUGUGGUAGGGGAGAUCGGAAUUCCUGGUGUAGCGGUGAAAAUGCGCAGAUAUCAGGAGGAACACCGGUGGCGAAGGCGGGUCUCUGGGCCGGUAUCGACGCUGAGGAGCGAAAAGCGUGGGGGAGCGAACAGG
Molecule: ribosomal RNA, 258 nt
Filed under: uncultured bacterium
Lineage: Bacteria
Description: partial 16S ribosomal RNA
Rfam family: Bacterial small subunit ribosomal RNA
Source: RNAcentral